GCCACAUCAACGUAUUAAUCAGGAAACUGGUUAUAAUUGAUAAGAGGGAGUUUAUUAUUCACCAAAUUAAAGUUGAGAAGGUUUUUAUGCUACAAAUCAAAGUUUAAGGACAAUGUUUUUAUAGGGCCCUAAAUUCAGGAACAAUGAGUGAAAUUUACCCAUUUCAUUACCUCCAAAGUCCAAACUGACAAAAAUCGAUAAAUAAAUAAUGAAAGGGAUUAAAAGAAGAUAGUUUUUUUUUUUCAUUUUCUAUAAUAAGAUAGACCACUUCAAGCCCACAGUUCAUGUAGAAAUCAGCCUGCCGCUAACAAAGAAAUAAUGACAAGUGAAAAACUGGUUUCCAAGAGAACAAACACUACAGCAAGUGAUUAAAAGUUUCAGCAACACAUAUGCCAUGAAGCAUCUAAAUAGGCUAAUACCCAAUGGUUUCAACUCUUUUUGUUCACUGAGAACAUCCUUUGCUUUCCUAGCCACCUCCCUCGCAAAAUAGUACCUUCUUUGAGUGCACACACCUUCCAAUCUGCCUCAAAAGGAAAAUUGGGUGACUUCCCUCCAAGGGUCCUUAGCAAAGGUUCUAUAAUAAGAAUACUUCAAAAACAGCCCCUUCUACAUUCUUCCAUCAAACCUAGUCCCACUCUAUCCCAAAAAUAAAUAAAUAAAAAAGAAAUAACUGUCCCACUGCUUCAGCACUUCUUCUCACUGACAUUUUUUAGAAAGAUAAUUACAAAGAAAUAAAUAAAGGCAGAAAAAGAGAGUUGAAGAAGAAGAAAAAUCUCACUCCCAAUCACAUCUACAUCCAAUUCAACCAAUUGAUGAACGCUGCAAACAAGAACUCAUCCAAAAAUCCCUAUCUCAAGUAAACAGAAAUUGUAAAGAAAGCAGUCCUACAGGGAAUAAAUACCAGUCCACUCAUCAUGCCAAACAAAAAAUAAAAUUACCACCACCAGCAUCAAAAUACAUAUACAAUUUUCUUGUUCAAACCCCGUUAAGAGUUGCAUAUAAAUCAUUAAAUGGUAGGCACUAUUUGAAUAAAUUUGCUUGCGGUUUUCUUGGCGCAAUCUCGUAUUGAUUAAAAUAUAUGCAACUUAGGUUAUAGAAUAAUGGGAAAUUGUAAAUAUAUGGCCUGCAUUUCAUUUAGUCAACUCUAUUUAAUUUUUGGCACUGCAUUCUCAAACACUGUAAAAACAUUCAAAAACUUAUUCAAGAGAACAAGCAUUGCUAUGCAAGCAACAAGAUGUUCACUGAAUAUUAAACAAAAUAAUAGAAUAAAAAUUCUCCAGCAGUCCAAAAAGAACUUACUUGUAUAUGUGCUAGUGCUGUUGU
RNAcentral lists this unclassified non-coding RNA (1323 nucleotides) under Hevea brasiliensis (rubber tree). The record is from RNAcentral. Lineage: Eukaryota; Viridiplantae; Streptophyta; Magnoliopsida; Malpighiales; Euphorbiaceae.